Uloborus diversus is the source of this 205-nucleotide long non-coding RNA. RefSeq lists it as uncharacterized. The record is from RefSeq and is a predicted model, not a curated record. NCBI's taxonomy places the organism in Eukaryota, Metazoa, Arthropoda, Arachnida, Araneae, Uloboridae. The transcript is spliced from 3 exons.
UGGGCAUCCAUUUUUUGUUAGAUGGUGUCUUGUUGUCUCUCGAAAGCAAUCAAGUACGAAUUCAGAGCUCCAAGAUUCAGGAUACUCUCAAAAAGAGAAAAAAGGAACUCGAGUACUUCCACGAAAGUGAAAGAUCAAACUAAAGUCGAGAUGAACUCGGCUGAAGAAGCAGUCAGUGCUGUUUUAAGACUUGCCCAAGAAAAUG